Molecule: ribosomal RNA, 273 nt
Filed under: uncultured bacterium
Lineage: Bacteria
Description: partial 16S ribosomal RNA
Rfam family: Bacterial small subunit ribosomal RNA
Source: RNAcentral
UACGGAGGGUGCAAGCGUUAUCCGGAUUUACUGGGUUUAAAGGGUGUGUAGGCGGGCAUUUAAGUCUGGGGUGAAAUCUCCGAGCUCAACUCGGAAACUGCCUUGGAUACUAUUUGUCUUGAAUUAUGUUGAGGUUGGCGGAAUAUAACAUGUAGCGGUGAAAUGCAUAGAUAUGUUAUAGAACACCGAUUGCGAAGGCAGCUGACUAAGCAUAUAUUGACGCUGAGGCACGAAAGCGUGGGUAGCGAACAGGAUUAGAUACCCCCGUAGUCC